CCAGCAGCCGCGGUAAUUCCCGCUCCAAUAGCGUAUAUUAAAGUUGUUGCAGUUAAAAAGCUCGUAGUUGGAUUUCUGGCAGGAGCGUCCGGUCUCACACUCAGUGCGGGAACUUGGAUGUCUCUGGCCAUCUUUGGGGAUAUCCUGUUUGGCAUUAAGUUGUCGGGCAGGGGAUACCCAUCGUUUACUGUGAAAAAAUUAGAGUGUUCAAAGCAGGCUUACGCUUGAAUACAUUAGCAUGGAAUAAUGGAAUAGGACUUUGGUUCUAUUUUGUUGGUUCUAGGACCGAAGAAAUGAUUAAUAGGGAUAGUUGGGGGCAUUCGUAUUUAAUUGUCAGAGGUGAAAUUCUUGGAUUUAUGAAAGACGAACAUCUGCGAAAGCAUUUGCCAAGGAUGUUUUCAUUGAUCAAGAACGAAAGU
Molecule: ribosomal RNA, 419 nt
Filed under: uncultured eukaryote
Lineage: Eukaryota
Description: SSU rRNA
Rfam family: Eukaryotic small subunit ribosomal RNA
Source: RNAcentral